Molecule: long non-coding RNA, 286 nt
Organism: Herpailurus yagouaroundi (jaguarundi)
Lineage: Eukaryota; Metazoa; Chordata; Mammalia; Carnivora; Felidae
Exons: 3
Source: RefSeq, a predicted model, not a curated record
GGGUUGAUGGGGGAAGGGAGGUGGGCAGGGAGAUGGGUUAAAUGAGUGAUAGGUACUAAGGAAGGCACUGUUGUAAUAAGAACUGGGUGUUAUAUGUAAGUGAUCAAUUACUAAAUUCUACUCCUAAAACUAAUAUUACACUAUAUGUUAACUAACUAGAAUUUAAUAAAAACUUGAGACAUACAAAAAAAAAUUGGUGCUUCAAUAAAGAAACUAUAACACCAUCAGAAAGAUCAAUGAACAAAUGAUUGUUCACACUACCCAACCAGAAAUGAGUGUCAUAACC